CCUACGGGGGGCAGCAGUGAGGAAUAUUGGUCAAUGGACGAGAGUCUGAACCAGCCAAGUAGCGUGAAGGAUGACUGCCCUAUGGGUUGUAAACUUCUUUUAUAUGGGAAUAAAACGUUCCACGUGUGGGAUUUUGUAUGUACCAUAUGAAUAAGGAUCGGCUAACUCCGUGCCAGCAGCCGCGGUAAUACGGAGGAUCCGAGCGUUAUCCGGAUUUAUUGGGUUUAAAGGGAGCGUAGGUGGAUUGUUAAGUCAGUUGUGAAAGUUUGCGGCUCAACCGUAAAAUUGCAGUUGAUACUGGCAGUCUUGAGUACAGUAGAGGUGGGCGGAAUUCGUGGUGUAGCGGUGAAAUGCUUAGAUAUCACGAAGAACUCCGAUUGCGAAGGCAGUUCACUGGACUGCAACUGACACUGAGGCUCGAAAGUGUGGGUAUCAAACAGGAUUAGAUACCCCUGUAGUC
RNAcentral lists this ribosomal RNA (460 nucleotides) under uncultured bacterium. RNAcentral describes it as "partial 16S ribosomal RNA". It matches the Rfam family "Bacterial small subunit ribosomal RNA", at positions 338 to 795 of the family's 1533-position model. The record is from RNAcentral.